CGGUCUGGGAUGGACUCGCGGCCUAUCAGCUUGUUGGUGAGGUAACGGCUCACCAAGGCGUCGACGGGUAGCCGGCCUGAGAGGGUGACCGGCCACACUGGGACUGAGACACGGCCCAGACUCCUACGGGAGGCAGCAGUGGGGAAUAUUGCACAAUGGGCGCAAGCCUGAUGCAGCAACGCCGCGUGCGGGAUGACGGCCUUCGGGUUGUAAACCGCUUUUAGUAGGGAAGAAGGGCUUCGGCUUGACGGUACCUGCAGAAAAAGGACCGGCUAACUACGUGCCAGCAGCCGCGGUAAUACGUAGGGUCCGAGCGUUGUCCGGAAUUAUUGGGCGUAAAGAGCUCGUAGGCGGUUUGUCGCGUCUGCUGUGAAAACUAGAGGCUCAACCUCUAGCCUGCAGUGGGUACGGGCAGACUGGAGUGCGGUAGGGGAGAAUGGAAUUCCUGGUGUAGCGGUGGAAUGCGCAGAUAUCAGGAGGAACACCGAUGGCGAAGGCAGUUCUCUGGGCCGUAACUGACGCUGAGGAGCGAAAGCGUGGGGAGCGAACAGGAUUAGAUACCCUGGUAGUCCACGCCGUAAACGUUGGGCGCUAGAUGUGGGGACCUUUCCACGGUUUCCGUGUCGUAGCUAACGCA
RNAcentral lists this ribosomal RNA (637 nucleotides) under Agromyces sp. RNAcentral's name for it is "bacterial SSU rRNA". It matches the Rfam family "Bacterial small subunit ribosomal RNA", at positions 216 to 859 of the family's 1533-position model. Lineage: Bacteria; Bacillati; Actinomycetota; Actinomycetes; Micrococcales; Microbacteriaceae. The record is from RNAcentral.